UGGGGAAUAUUGCACAAUGGGGGAAACCCUGAUGCAGCGACGCCGCGUGAACGAAGAAGGUAUUCGUAUCGUAAAGUUCUGUCCUAUGGGAAGAUAAUGACAGUACCAUAGAAGAAAGCUCCGGCUAAAUACGUGCCAGAAGCCGCGGUAAUACGUAUGGAGCGAGCGUUGUCCGGAAUUAUUGGGCGUAAAGGGUACGCAGGCGGUUUAAUAAGUCGAAUGUUAAAGAUCGGGGCUCAACCCCGCAAAGCAUUGGAAACUGAUAAACUUGAGUAGUGGAGAGGAAAGUGGAAUUCCUAGUGUAGUGGUGAAAUACGUAGAUAUUAGGAGGAAUACCAGUAGCGAAGGCGACUUUCUGGACACAAACUGACGCUGAGGUACGAAAGCGUGGGGAGCAAACAGG
This 403-nucleotide ribosomal RNA is filed under the name bacterium. RNAcentral describes it as "partial 16S ribosomal RNA". It matches the Rfam family "Bacterial small subunit ribosomal RNA", at positions 355 to 776 of the family's 1533-position model. The record is from RNAcentral.